GUACGCUAUUCAGAGUUUGAUCCUGGCUCAGGAUUAACGCUGGCGGCGUGCAUAACACAUUCAAGUCGAACGGUGACGAGGGCUUCGGCUCUCUGAUCAGUGGCGGACGGGUGAGUAACGCGUGAGCAAUCUACCUCUUGGUGAGGGAUAACAACCGGAAACAGUUGCUAAUACCUCAUGAAACGGCAGUCCCGCAUGGAACAACCGUCAAAGAUUUAUUGCCAAGAGAUGAGCUUGCGUCUGAUUAGCUAGUUGGUGAGGUAACGGCCCACCAAGGCGACGAUCGGUAGCCGGACUGAGAGGUUGAACGGCCACAUUGGAACUGAGAUACGGUCCAG
This 338-nucleotide ribosomal RNA is filed under the name uncultured bacterium. RNAcentral describes it as "bacterial SSU rRNA". It matches the Rfam family "Bacterial small subunit ribosomal RNA", at positions 1 to 334 of the family's 1533-position model. The record is from RNAcentral.